AUGGUUAUUGUGAUAGCUGAAGGUGCUGGGCAAGAGUUGCUUUCUCAGACCAUCCAAUCAACUCAGCAGGAUGCUUCAGGAAACAAACUUCUCCAAGAUGUUGGUUUGUGGAUAUCACAGAGGAUCAAGGAUUAUUUUUCAAAGCAGAAGAAGAUGACUAUAAACCUCAAAUAUAUAGAUCCUACAUACAUGAUCCGUGCUAUUCCAGGCAAUGCAUCUGACAAUGUGUACUGCACACUUCUUGCUCAAAGUGUUGUGCAUGGAGCAAUGGCUGGAUACACUGGCUUUACAAGUGGUCUUGUUAAUGGCAGACAAACUUACAUACCCUUUUAUCGAAUCAUUGAGAAGCAGAACAAGGUAGUUAUAACAGAUAGGAUGUGGGCUAGGCUUCUGUCUUCAACAAAUCAGCCUAGUUUUUGGAGUGCUAAAGAUUGCAUUGAAGACAAGAAAGAGGAUAUUGCCAAAGUCAAGGAGGAGGAAGAACCGGAAAACCGGUUAAUGGAUAAUGGGAAUUGUGCCAGCGAUAUUGUGGCAAAGAAAGAGGUCAGCUACAUGUGAUUGAGAUUGAAACCAUAAUAGUCUAUAAGAUUGUUACUAUCAUUGCAUUGCCUACCAUGUAUCUUGGUUAUGUUAGAUUAAUGAUAUUAUGAGUGAGUUCUGCCCUUCGGUUUAUUUCAGGGUACCUGGAAAUGGUAGUAUUCUUUGCUGAGAUAAAAUAGUUUUGGUCAUGAAUAAUGGCAAAGUUGAAUGAGAAAAAUUAACUCAAUGCACUGUAUUGUAUGAUGACUUGAUUUAAAUUAUUACAACUUUU
This 811-nucleotide unclassified non-coding RNA is filed under the name Hevea brasiliensis (rubber tree). Lineage: Eukaryota; Viridiplantae; Streptophyta; Magnoliopsida; Malpighiales; Euphorbiaceae. The record is from RNAcentral.